CCUACGGGAGGCAGCAGUCGAGAAUCAUUCACAAUGGGGGAAACCCUGAUGGUGCGACGCCGCGUGGGGGAAUGAAGGUCUUCGUAUUGUAAACCCCUGUCAUGUGGGAGCAAAUUAAAAAGAUAGUACCACAAGAGGAAGAGACGGCUAACGCUGUGCCAGCAGCCGCGGUAAUACAGAGGUCUCAAGCGUUGUUCGGAAGCACUGGGCGUAAAGCGUGCGUAGGCGGUUUCGUAAGUCGUGUGUGAAAGGCGCGGGCACAACCCGCGGACGGCACAUGAUACUGCGAGACUAGAGUAAUGGAGGGGGAAGCGGAAGUCUCGGUGUAGCAGUGAAAUGCGUAGAUAUCGAGAGGAACACUCGUGGCGAAGGCGGGUUCCUGGACAUUAACUGACGCUGAGGCACGAAGGCCAGGGGAGCGAAAGGGAUUAGAUACCCCAGUAGUC
RNAcentral lists this ribosomal RNA (446 nucleotides) under uncultured bacterium. Its description in RNAcentral is "partial 16S ribosomal RNA". It matches the Rfam family "Bacterial small subunit ribosomal RNA", at positions 338 to 795 of the family's 1533-position model. The record is from RNAcentral.